AUUGAACGCUGGCGGCAUGCCUUGCACAUGCAAGUCGAACGGCAGCACGGGUGCUUGCACCUGGUGGCGAGUGGCGAACGGGUGAGUAAUACAUCGGAACAUGUCCUGUAGUGGGGGAUAGCCCGGCGAAAGCCGGAUUAAUACCGCAUACGAUCUACGGAUGAAAGCGGGGGACCUUCGGGCCUCGCGCUAUAGGGUUGGCCGAUGGCUGAUUAGCUAGUUGGUGGGGUAAAGGCCUACCAAGGCGACGAUCAGUAGCUGGUCUGAGAGGACGACCAGCCACACUGGGACUGAGACACGGCCCAGACUCCUACGGGAGGCAGCAGUGGGGAAUUUUGGACAAUGGGCGAAAGCCUGAUCCAGCAAUGCCGCGUGUGCGAAGAAGGCCUUCGGGUUGUAAAGCACUUUUGUCCGGAAAGAAAUCCUUGGCCCUAAUACGGUCGGGGGAUGACGGUACCGGAAGAAUAAGCACCGGCUAACUACGUG
This 486-nucleotide ribosomal RNA is filed under the name uncultured bacterium. RNAcentral's name for it is "partial 16S ribosomal RNA". It matches the Rfam family "Bacterial small subunit ribosomal RNA", at positions 30 to 507 of the family's 1533-position model. The record is from RNAcentral.